This 799-nucleotide long non-coding RNA is filed under the name Vigna radiata. Its description in RNAcentral is "long non-coding RNA (VRAD_LNC012668)". The record is from RNAcentral. Lineage: Eukaryota; Viridiplantae; Streptophyta; Magnoliopsida; Fabales; Fabaceae.
GGUUAAAUGUGUAUUCAUCUGAUUGGUGUUACCGAGAAUGGAAUUUUUUUUGAGAGAGAACUUUUGAUAGUUUCAUUAGGCAAAAAGGAGGUUGAUUUAAUUUUUUAUGCAGCGUGAUUGGAAGGGAAAUUAUUAAGCUAUGCAUUGUCAUGUCAUUAGGAGUAUGGUUGACCUUCAUUUGCCUUUGCACAUUGGGAGAUGUGAGUUUCAUUUAAUUGUGAAGACCAAAUAAUGCUGAUGAGAAGCAUUACUGCAUCUAUUUGGAGAGAGAGAACCGAAAAUUUCAUUUGCAAAGGUGAAUUAGGUGGAGUGAUGGGACACUUGGCUGCCACAAGUUUAGCUUCAAAGAAAAUAAGGAGAAAGAAAUUUUAGUUGCAGUGGUUUUGGUUCAUGUGAUGAGAUGCUAUUCCAAUUCCUUUUAAUUGAAGAAGUGCAACGCUAUCUUGAAAUGGUGGGGUCCAGAGCUUGAUUUCUUGGGAGCUUAAAUUGGAGUAAAGCUUUGCAUUUGAAACAUUUUAGGAAGCCAUGGUCAUGCUGCUGGUGCACUGUUUCAGCAAAAAAAUGGGUCACGGCAAUUGAAAGUAAAUUUUACUUUUUUUUUACGUUAGCCUUGGAAGAAAAGUGAAAUUGAUUUCCUAUACUUUAAUUGCAAUUGAGUCACGUGUUUUGUAAAGAAAUAUAUGUUUUUUUUUUAUUUUAUUUUUCUUUUAUUUUAAAGUAGUUUAGGUUUUAGAUAAAUUUUAUUUUUUAUUUUAUUUUUCUUUUAUUUUAAAGUAGUUUAGGUUUUAGAUAAACUUUA